AUUGAACGCUAGCGGGAUGCCUUACACAUGCAAGUCGAACGGAGUGGCGAACGGGUGAGGAAUGAAUCGGAAGGUGCCCAGUAGCGGGGGAUAACUACGCGAAAGCGUAGCUAAUACCGCAUACUAUUGGAGCGGCCGAUAUCGGAUUAGCUAGUUGGUGGGGUAACGGCUCACCAAGGCGACGAUGCCUAGCCGGUAUGAGAGGACGACCAGCCACACUGGGACUGAGACACGGCCCAGACUCCUACGGGAGGCAGCAGUAGGGAAUCUUGGGCAAUGGGGGAAACCCUGACCGAGCAAUCCCGCGUGUGCGAAGAAGGUCUUCGGGUUGUAAAGCUCUGUUGUUAGGGAAGCGGUACCUACACAGAAAGCAACGGCUAACUACGUGCCAGCAGCCGCGGUAAUAC
This 407-nucleotide ribosomal RNA is filed under the name uncultured bacterium. RNAcentral's name for it is "partial 16S ribosomal RNA". It matches the Rfam family "Bacterial small subunit ribosomal RNA", at positions 30 to 526 of the family's 1533-position model. The record is from RNAcentral.